This 311-nucleotide unclassified non-coding RNA is filed under the name fungal sp. Its description in RNAcentral is "partial internal transcribed spacer region". The stretch from base 1 to 46 matches the Rfam family "Eukaryotic small subunit ribosomal RNA", at positions 1786 to 1831 of the family's 1831-position model. The record is from RNAcentral. Lineage: Eukaryota; Fungi.
AAGUCGUAACAAGGUUUCCGUAGGUGAACCUGCGGAAGGAUCAUUAACACUCCAAAACUUCUUCAAGGACUCUGAAAAGGGUCCAUGAUGAAACCCUAUUAACCAAUAGCGAACCUAGGCCGGGAGACAGUUGGUUUCCUAGCGACACUUUUGUCCUUUUUUAUUAUUAUUUUAACCCCACAUUUCUUUUUUAUCGUCUGACUGGAAGAUCUCGGUCUUCCGUUGCUCUCUCUCUUAAACCAGAGAGGCAAUGAAAACUACCAAAAACAAAAACAAAAAAACAACUCUUAGCAACGGAUAUCUUGGUUCUC